AGCUUCCCCAGGGGCUCAGUGGUAAAGAAUCCUCCCACCAGCGCAGGAGUCAGGUUGGAUCCCCGCUCUGGGAAGAUCCCGCGUGCCACGGGGGCACUAAACCCGCAUGGCACAACAAUUGGCUGUGCUCUAGAGCCUGGGAACAGCAACUGAUGAAGCCUGUGAGCCCGAGGGCCCGUGCUCUGCAACGUGAGAAACUACGCAGGGCAACUAGAACCUGCUCGCUACAACUAGAGCGGCCCCUGCUUGCAUAACUAGAGGAGAGCCUGCGCAGCAACAAAGACCCAGGACAGCUGGAAAUAAAUAACAAAAUAAAUUUUACCAACAAAGAAAGACGCUUUCCUGAAUUUGAAUAAAUCUUCAGAUUUGCUGGAGGAGAAAGGAAGCUGGAAUCAGCUCUCGGUUGAGCAGGGCUUCCCAGGUGGCACAGUGGUAAAGAAUCUGCCUGCCGACCAAGAGCUGCAGGUUCAGUCUCCAGGUCUGGAAGAGCCUCUGGAGGAGGAAAUGACAACUCACCCCCAGUGUUCUUGCCUGGAAAAUUCUAUGGACAGAUGAGCCUUGUGCGUUACAGUCCAUGAGGCCGCAAACAGUCAGACAAAACUGAGCGACUGAGCACACACUGGGGUGAGCUACUUCACAAGGUGAUCAUCUGGGAACCUUCCCCUGGAUGCAAACGGCGCCAAAAGGAGCUGAGAAAUGAAAAGAGAGAGAAAUCAGGUCCUAGGACAUCACCGAGCCACCAAGGAUAAAAGCCUCUCCCACGUGUAGACUUGCCUGUUUCAUGAGCCAAUAAAUUUCCUUUAGUUUCAAAACUGGUUUGAGGACUUCCCUGGCAGUCCAGUGGUUAAGAAUCCGCCUGCCAGUGCAGAGGACAGGGGUUUGAUCCCUGGUCCAGAAAGAUUUCACGUGCCGCGGGGCAACUAAGCCAGUGUGCCACAACUACUGAAGCCCACAUGCCCUCGAGUCUGUGCUCUUCAACAAAAGGAGCCACUACAAGGAGAAGUUGUAUCUCAACUAGAUACAUCGCAACUAUAGAGUAUUGCAACCAUGCAUCGCAACUCGAGAGUAGCCCCUGC
Long non-coding RNA from Bos taurus (domestic cattle), 1076 nucleotides. The record is from Ensembl. Lineage: Eukaryota; Metazoa; Chordata; Mammalia; Artiodactyla; Bovidae.